Long non-coding RNA from Nicotiana attenuata, 1282 nucleotides. RefSeq lists it as uncharacterized. Lineage: Eukaryota; Viridiplantae; Streptophyta; Magnoliopsida; Solanales; Solanaceae. The record is from RefSeq and is a predicted model, not a curated record. The transcript has 3 exons.
UUUUCAUUUUAUUUUUUGAAUUCUCUAUAUGCAUGUAUGUAACUUUGUUUCAUUUGCGGAUACAUGUUUGAAAUAAGAUAUAGUCAUGCAUAAUUUCGGAUAUUUGAUGAAUACAAAUCUUUUUUUUUUGGGGCAAUCAAACAUAAUCCUCUUUUUCCCUCUUCAAUAUUUGGAAUAAGCUUGAUACCAGGGUUGAGAGAUCAAGAAAUAGCUGAAAGAAAGAAAAAUAUAGCCGAGAAGACCUAUCCAUAAAAAAGGUUUGUGUUCUGAUAGGCUAAAGUCAGAUCCUAAUCCAGUUUGCUCUACAGACACCAUAGAGUUCUUCUCCUCAUUUGGUUCAACAUCUGCUCAACUGAGUCUCUAUUCAAUCUUUUGUGAUACAUAUAUGCAACAUCAUUAUCAAGAUAAGAAGUCAAGAAAUAUCUAAGGUACCUUUUAAAACAUUCGACUAUCGGUACAACGAAGUAUGAAGUUAAAGAAAUAUAAAAAUGGGAAUUUCCAAUUGCCUUUUCUUUUUUAAUCACUCACCAUAGGAUUUAUGUUUCUAUAAAUAGCUUCAGAAUAUAUUACUGCAUAUCUUUGCUUCCCCUUCCAUUCAUCUCUAAUAUUUUUUUAUUAAAGAAGAGAAAAAAGCUUAGCACGUAAGAUGUUGCGUGAUUUCUGAAAUGAGGAAAGAAUUGAAUUAAGUUAAAAAAGCGAAAAAUUUGGGUGGUGCUUAUUUCUUAAUUUUUAUAGUUGAGACUAUAUCUGAGACUCCAAGAUCCUUUAUAUAUCUUCAAGAAGGUAAAUAAUUUUAAUUUAUAGCCUCCUUCCUACAUCAUUAGGACGUGAAUUAUCCAAAAUCUCAAACUAAUUCCAUAUCUUUUUAUAAUCUGGUUAAGAAUUAGACUGAUUUUACUUUGUCCUUUUCUUGGCAAAGAUACAGAUAAUGAAAUGCAUAAUACAUUUUUCAAAGGAAUUGCUACUAUGCUGGUCAAGCAGGGAAUGUACAAAGAAUCUGGUACAUCGUACCAGCAUGUGUAUGGUGGGUAAAUUGCAUUGAGAUAAUCGGAAGUAUGUAUCAUUAUUUAAGUUUUUUUUCCCAGCUAUCAUUACUUGAAUUUAAGUGUAUUAUUUUGCUAGCUCUGUGGUUAAAAGAUGUUUGUGAAGAGCAUAGGAUGGUAGAAUUAAUUAGUGCUUUACGUAAUAGUUAGUAGUAGUUUUACUCCAGUCAUUUUGUUGUAUAUGUUAUCACAGUGGUUUAUUUUUAGAGUAAUAAGGUAAAUUUACUAUGUUAAUGUGU